RNAcentral lists this ribosomal RNA (497 nucleotides) under uncultured bacterium. Its description in RNAcentral is "partial 16S ribosomal RNA". It matches the Rfam family "Bacterial small subunit ribosomal RNA", at positions 28 to 507 of the family's 1533-position model. The record is from RNAcentral.
GAUGAACGCUGGCGGCGUGCCUAAUACAUGCAAGUCGAGCGAACAGAUAAGGAGCUUGCUCCUUUGACGUUAGCGGCGGACGGGUGAGUAACACGUGGGUAACCUACCUAUAAGACUGGAAUAACUCCGGGAAACCGGGGCUAAUGCCGGAUAACAUUUAGAACCGCAUGGUUCUAAAGUGAAAGAUGGUUUUGCUAUCACUUAUAGAUGGACCCGCGCCGUAUUAGCUAGUUGGUAAGGUAACGGCUUACCAAGGCAACGAUAGGUAGCCGACCUGAGAGAGUGAUAGGCCACACUGGAACUGAGACGGCGUCCAGACUCCUACGGGAGGCCGCAGUAGGGAAUCUUCCGCAAUGGGCGAAAGCCUGACGGAGCAACGCCGCGUGAGUGAUGACGGUCUUCGGAGCGUAAAACUCUGUUAUUAGGGAAGAACAAAUGUGUAAGUAACUGUGCACGUCUUGACGGUACCUAAUAAGAAAGCCACGGCUAACUACGUG